This 513-nucleotide ribosomal RNA is filed under the name uncultured bacterium. RNAcentral's name for it is "bacterial SSU rRNA". It matches the Rfam family "Bacterial small subunit ribosomal RNA", at positions 996 to 1509 of the family's 1533-position model. The record is from RNAcentral.
CUUAGCAGAGAUGCUUUGGUGCCUUCGGGAACUCUGAGACAGGUGCUGCAUGGCUGUCGUCAGCUCGUGUUGUGAAAUGUUGGGUUAAGUCCCGCAACGAGCGCAACCCUUAUCCUUUGUUGCCAGCGGUCCGGCCGGGAACUCAAAGGAGACUGCCAGUGAUAAACUGGAGGAAGGUGGGGAUGACGUCAAGUCAUCAUGGCCCUUACGAGUAGGGCUACACACGUGCUACAAUGGCGCAUACAAAGAGAAGCGACCUCGCGAGAGCAAGCGGACCUCAUAAAGUGCGUCGUAGUCCGGAUUGGAGUCUGCAACUCGACUCCAUGAAGUCGGAAUCGCUAGUAAUCGUGGAUCAGAAUGCCACGGUGAAUACGUUCCCGGGCCUUGUACACACCGCCCGUCACACCAUGGGAGUGGGUUGCAAAAGAAGUAGGUAGCUUAACCUUCGGGAGGGCGCUUACCACUUUGUGAUUCAUGACUGGGGUGAAGUCGUAACAAGGUAGGCGUAGUGCU